GACUGGUGGAGCGCUUAGAAGUGAGAAUGCAGGUAUGAGUAGCGAAAGAGGGGUGAGAAUCCCCUCCACCGAAUGCCUAAGGUUUCCUGAGGAAGGCUCGUCCGCUCAGGGUUAGUCGGGACCUAAGCCGAGGCCGAAAGGCGUAGGCGAUGGACAACAGGUUGAUAUUCCUGUACCACCUCCUCACCAUUUGAGCAAUGGGGGGACGCAGGAGGAUAGGGUAGGCGCGGUAUUGGAUAUCCGCGUCCAAGCAGUUAGGCUGGGAAAUAGGCAAAUCCGUUUCCCAUAAGGCUGAGCUGUGAUGGCGAGCGAAAUAUAGUAGCGAAGUUCCUGAUUCCACACUGCCAAGAAAAGCCUCUAGCGAGGUGAGAGGUGCCCGUACCGCAAACCGACACAGGUAGGCGAGGAGAGAAUCCUAAGGUGAUCGAGAGAACUCUCGUUAAGGAACUCGGCAAAAUGACCCCGUAACUUCGGGAGAAGGGGUGCUCUGUUAGGGUGCAAGCCCGAGAGAGCCGCAGUGAAUAGGCCCAGGCGACUGUUUAGCAAAAACACAGGUCUCUGCGAAGCCGUAAGGCGAAGUAUAGGGGCUGACGCCUGCCCGGUGCUGGAAGGUUAAGAGGAGCGCUUAGCGUAAGCGAAGGUGCGAAUUGAAGCCCCAGUAAACGGCGGCCGUAACAAUAACGGUCCUAAGGUAGCGAAAUUCCUUGUCGGGUAAGUUCCGACCCGCACGAAAGGCGCAACGAUCUGGGCACUGUCUCAACGAGAGACUCGGUGAAAUUAUAGUACCUGUGAAGAUGCAGGUUACCCGCGACAGGACGGAAAGACCCCGUGGAGCUUCACUGCAGCCUGAUAUCGAAUGUUGGUACAGCUUGUACAGGAUAGGUAGGAGCCUUGGAAACCGGAGCGCCAGCUUCGGUGGAGGCAUCGGUGGGAUACUACCCUGGCUGUAUUGACCUUCUAACCCGCCGCCCUUAUCGGGCGGGGAGACAGUGUCAGGUGGGCAGUUUGACUGGGGCGGUCGCCUCCUAAAAGGUAACGGAGGCGCCCAAAGGUUCCCUCAGAAUGGUUGGAAAUCAUUCGCAGAGUGUAAAGGCACAAGGGAGCUUGACUGCGAGACCUACAAGUCGAGCAGGGACGAAAGUCGGGCUUAGUGAUCCGGUGGUUCCGCAUGGAAGGGCCAUCGCUCAACGGAUAAAAGCUACCCCGGGGAUAACAGGCUUAUCUCCCCCAAGAGUCCACAUCGACGGGGAGGUUUGGCACCUCGAUGUCGGCUCAUCGCAUCCUGGGGCUGUAGUCGGUCCCAAGGGUUGGGCUGUUCGCCCAUUAAAGCGGUACGCGAGCUGGGUUCAGAACGUCGUGAGACAGUUCGGUCCCUAUCCGUCGCGGGCGCAGGAAAUUUGAGAGGAGCUGUCCUUAGUACGAGAGGACCGGGAUGGACGCACCGCUGGUGUACCAGUUGUUCUGCCAAGGGCAUCGCUGGGUAGCUAUGUGCGGACGGGAUAAGUGCUGAAAGCAUCUAAGCAUGAAGCCCCCCUCAAGAUGAGAUUUCCCAUUCCGCAAGGAAGUAAGAUCCCUGAAAGAUGAUCAGGUUGAUAGGUCUGAGGUGGAAGUGUGGCGACACAUGGAGCUGACAGAUACUAAUCGAUCGAGGACUU
Molecule: ribosomal RNA, 1655 nt
Filed under: metagenome
Description: bacterial LSU rRNA
Rfam family: Bacterial large subunit ribosomal RNA
Source: RNAcentral